RNAcentral lists this ribosomal RNA (845 nucleotides) under uncultured bacterium. Its description in RNAcentral is "bacterial SSU rRNA". It matches the Rfam family "Bacterial small subunit ribosomal RNA", at positions 8 to 854 of the family's 1533-position model. The record is from RNAcentral.
AGAGUUUGAUCCUGGCUCAGAUUGAACGCUGGCGGAAUGCUUUACACAUGCAAGUCGAACGGUAGAGGGGGCAACCCCUUGAGAGUGGCGAACGGGUGAGUAAUGUAUCGGAACGUGCCCAGUCGUGGGGGAUAACGUAGUGAAAAUUACGCUAAUACCGCAUACGAUCUAUGGAUGAAAGCGGGGGAUCGCAAGACCUCGCACGAUUGGAGCGGCCGAUAUCAGAUUAGGUAGUUGGUGGGGUAAAGGCUCACCAAGCCAACGAUCUGUAGCUGGUCUGAGAGGACGACCAGCCACACUGGAACUGAGACACGGUCCAGACUCCUACGGGAGGCAGCAGUGGGGAAUUUUGGACAAUGGACGCAAGUCUGAUCCAGCCAUUCCGCGUGCAGGACGAAGGCCUUCGGGUUGUAAACUGCUUUUGUACGGAACGAAAAAGCUCCUAUUAAUACUAGGAGUCCAUGACGGUACCGUAAGAAUAAGCACCGGCUAACUACGUGCCAGCAGCCGCGGUAAUACGUAGGGUGCAAGCGUUAAUCGGAAUUACUGGGCGUAAAGCGUGCGCAGGCGGUUACAUAAGACAGAUGUGAAAUCCCCGAGCUUAACUUGGGAACUGCAUUUGUGACUGUAUAGCUAGAGUACGGCAGAGGGGGAUGGAAUUCCGCGUGUAGCAGUGAAAUGCGUAGAUAUGCGGAGGAACACCGAUGGCGAAAGCAAUCCCCUGGGCCUGUACUGACGCUCAUGCACGAAAGCGUGGGGAGCAAACAGGAUUAGAUACCCUGGUAGUCCACGCCCUAAACGAUGUCAACUGGUGUUGGGUCUUCACUGACUCAGUAACGAAGCUA